Molecule: ribosomal RNA, 253 nt
Filed under: uncultured bacterium
Lineage: Bacteria
Description: partial 16S ribosomal RNA
Rfam family: Bacterial small subunit ribosomal RNA
Source: RNAcentral
UACGUAGGGACCAAGCGUUGUUCGGAUUUAUUGGGCGUAAAGGGCUCGUAGGCGGCAAUUCAAGUCAGUUGUGAAAUCUCUGAGCUUAACUCAGAACGGUCAACUGAUACUGCUUUGCUAGAGUACAGAAGGGGCAAUCGGAAUUCUUGGUGUAGCGGUGAAAUGCGUAGAUAUCAAGAGGAACACCUGAGGUGAAGACGGGUUGCUGGGUCUGCACUGACACUGAGGGACGAAAGCUAGGGGAGCGAAAGGG